This is a long non-coding RNA of Passer domesticus (house sparrow), 317 nucleotides long. RefSeq lists it as uncharacterized. Lineage: Eukaryota; Metazoa; Chordata; Aves; Passeriformes; Passeridae. The transcript has 4 exons. The record is from RefSeq and is a predicted model, not a curated record.
CUAGCAUUUCUUACACAACAUGGACAGGCUAGGCAGCAUGAACAGGAGCUCAAUCAGCAAAAUUGAAAGUGUCUGUAACAGGACUCCCACAUCCAGCAUGUCAUCAGCCUGUGGAAUUUGCCAUCUCCUCAGGCAGUUCCCUACAGGCCGUGGCACAAUUGCUGACCAGACUACAAGAGGCAGCUUGCAUUAGAGAAAUUAGAUACCAGCUCUCUGAAGACCAGCAAAACCUCAAAUGGUGUAGAGAGAGAGGCAAAAAGGAAAUGGUGAAAUAGAAAAAAGACACAAGAGUGUGCAGCCUUACAUGAUUCAUGCCA